UCGCUCUGCGGUCGGCGGAGCUCACGACCACCC
This 33-nucleotide unclassified non-coding RNA is filed under the name Sorangium cellulosum So ce56. RNAcentral's name for it is "sce_Cardiovirus_CRE_22". The record is from RNAcentral. Lineage: Bacteria; Pseudomonadati; Myxococcota; Polyangiales; Polyangiaceae.